RNAcentral lists this long non-coding RNA (431 nucleotides) under Elaeis guineensis (African oil palm). RNAcentral's name for it is "long non-coding RNA (EGUI_LNC070360)". Lineage: Eukaryota; Viridiplantae; Streptophyta; Magnoliopsida; Arecales; Arecaceae. The record is from RNAcentral.
GAAUUACAAAUAUGUAAUCUACAGGAGGUAUCUAAUAUCCAAAUAUCAGAGUCUAAACCACUCAAUGAAAAAUAGGUCUGUAUCAUAUACACACCUUUGCUUGCAAGUCACCGUGGCGGUCUCAGGUCGGAAGGAUAUUAUACCCAUAUCCCAUCGGAGCAAAUCUUGACAGUAGAAAAAGCUUCAGAGUCGGUCACGUUCAGUGCAGAUGUACCCUUACAUCUCACCUGUAUGCCAUACUAGUGUCUCCACACUCUUUGGUUAAGAAGACAACCAACCCAUAUGGCACACAACAACCUAUGCUUGAUAAACAUUAUUGUCCUUGGUAACAUUUGGUCGCGAACAGGUUUAAGGACUAAACGACAAAUCCUCCUUUGUCGAGUCUAAAUACUCCUAAGGACUUCACCACAACACAGGAGUUCAUUAGAAGA